GCGUGCUAAGCGGAAAUUUUUAGGAAAUUUGAGAAGAAGUUGAUUGCCUAUGUGUUCCAUAUCCCCUCAUUAUAGUCUUGAAAUUUUCAAAUAGAUUAUGUGAAUUAAUUCAAGUACUACCUAUUUACUUUAUUAGCUAUGGGUGACCCGCUCCUUUUCCUCCAAUCUAACUCAGCCACCCGGUUCUGACUUUGUCGGGAAAUAUAUGUACACGACUCAGUUGCUUGUAUUCCAAAAUUAUUAUGGCUCCCAAGAAUUGGUCAUCCUUUUUUUCAGAACAUUUUCUCAUUACUUGGAUUAUUUUGCACAAGUUCUCCCGGAACAUUCUUUGAAGGAGACAAGAUCACUGCAAGGGACCUUUUUAAUAAAAGUUUCAUUUUGAUUAUAUUUUUCUAGUCACUCCAAAAUAAUAAAUGCUUAUUAUGUUGUAAUUCGUUUAAAUAUAUAACACAAU
This is a long non-coding RNA of Hermetia illucens (black soldier fly), 454 nucleotides long. RefSeq lists it as uncharacterized. The transcript is spliced from 3 exons. The record is from RefSeq and is a predicted model, not a curated record. Lineage: Eukaryota; Metazoa; Arthropoda; Insecta; Diptera; Stratiomyidae.